CGAACCGUGCGAACGUUAUUCGGAAUCACUGGGCUUAAAGAGCGCGUAGGCGGAUUGCUACGUCGGUUGCUGAAAUCCCCCGGCUCAACCGGGGAAGUGGCAGCGAUACGGGCAGUCUCGAGGGACGUAGGGGGACCUGGAACUUCCGGGUGGAGCGGUGAAAUGCGUUGAGAUCGGAAGGAACGCCCGUGGCGAAAGCGAGGUCCUGGACGUCUUCUGACGCUGAGGCGCGAAAGCUAGGGGAGCGAACGGGGAUU
Molecule: ribosomal RNA, 257 nt
Filed under: uncultured bacterium
Lineage: Bacteria
Description: partial 16S ribosomal RNA
Rfam family: Bacterial small subunit ribosomal RNA
Source: RNAcentral